AGGGAGGGGAGGCAGGAGGUUUUUGAUUCUGCAGACGCUGCUGCCAGUGACUGUCAUACAGUGACAGACACAGCAGCAGCAGGGGGGACAGGAGUCACAGGACGGCGCAGCAGUGAAGGGAUUCAGAGCAGGGAAAGCGCCUCUCUGUCCCAGCGCCUCCCUGCACUGCAUCCCUUCGCUGAGCGGGUGGCGCCGGACCUGCCUGCCAGGGCCGGCUCCAGGCAUGUUCCAAUAGAGCGGCCGCGCAGGGCGCCACCCUUAAUGGGCGCCGCAUGCUUGUGCCGCCAUAUUGGAACCUGGCUGGAGCAGUGGAGCCUGGAGAGCAUCUGUGACCGGCUGCAGCACACAGCGAUCCGUCCAUGAUUAAUCCAUUCCCGCCCCGGCCCGCCCGCCCGCCUGCUAAUAGUGGUAGUAGCCUGCCUAGCGACAACAGCAGUGGACGGCCAGCGGCCGCGGCUGACUGUUUGUGGUGUGCCUGCUGCCCCGUACCGAUGAUGAGUCAUCGAGGGGGAGUGCUGUGGGCGGGCCGCGGACUAAAUCUAAACUACCCAGGCUGUGCGCGCUGACGCUGUACGGCGGCAGCGGCUCCGGCGUCUGACGUCAGCGGAACCGCACAGCGCACAUGGCGCGCAGAGCCGAUCAGAGUCAGACCUUAGCUUAGUCUGCGCCACACCGUGGACCUUACUGCCUCCGGGACUCUGCAGAUUGUGUGGCCAGUGGACGAGAUCCAGCACAAGGAGUGCAGCCUGACAUCAGCAUGAGCCACGCCUUGCAGCUACGGACGAAGGAGCCAUUUUGUCUUACACCGAUAAUGCGGUAUCGAGGCCUGAGCAAUUCUGUGGGGAGCAUGACAACAUAGAGGAACAAACAAACAAUUUACCAAGCGGCUACAGAAAGUGUACGCCAAGACAAAGAAACAAAGACCAGAUAAUAUCUCAAGAAGUGAUAUCUGACACAGGUGAAGCAAGGGACGGAUGAGGCCGACGUGGCCUGCGUAGAGCUACAGUCAGCGGACUACAGCCUUAAAGCCAGUAAAAAGCAAAGUGGACCUUGGUGUACUUUAUCACAGGUGGAGUAUGGCAGCUAAAGACCGC
This is a long non-coding RNA of Pseudophryne corroboree (corroboree frog), 1094 nucleotides long. RefSeq lists it as uncharacterized. NCBI's taxonomy places the organism in Eukaryota, Metazoa, Chordata, Amphibia, Anura, Myobatrachidae. The transcript has 4 exons. The record is from RefSeq and is a predicted model, not a curated record.